ACGGGUGAGUAACACGUGGGCAACCUGCCUGCAGGAUCGGGAUAACUCCGGGAAACCGGAGCUAAUACCGGAUAAUACUUUUUGCUUCAUGGCAGAAAGAUGAAAGGCGGUUUCGGCUGCCACCUGCAGAUGGGCCCGCGGUGCAUUAGCUAGUUGGUAGGGUAACGGCCUACCAAGGCAACGAUGCAUAGCCGACCUGAGAGGGUGAUCGGCCACACUGGGACUGAGACACGGCCCAGACUCCUACGGGAGGCAGCAGUAGGGAAUCUUCCGCAAUGGACGAAAGUCUGACGGAGCAACGCCGCGUGAGUGAUGAAGGUUUUCGGAUCGUAAAACUCUGUUGUAAGGGAAGAACAAGUACGAUAGUAACUGAUCGUACCUUGACGGUACCUUACCAGAAAGCCACGGCUAACUACGUGCCAGCAGCCGCGGUAAUACGUAGGUGGCAAGCGUUGUCCGGAAUUAUUGGGCGUAAAGCGCGCGCAGGCGGUCCUUUAAGUCUGAUGUGAAAUCUUGCGGCUCAACCGUAAGCGUGCAUUGGAAACUGGAGGACUUGAGUACAGAAGAGGAGA
RNAcentral lists this ribosomal RNA (572 nucleotides) under uncultured bacterium. RNAcentral describes it as "bacterial SSU rRNA". It matches the Rfam family "Bacterial small subunit ribosomal RNA", at positions 102 to 660 of the family's 1533-position model. The record is from RNAcentral.